This 426-nucleotide ribosomal RNA is filed under the name uncultured bacterium. Its description in RNAcentral is "partial 16S ribosomal RNA". It matches the Rfam family "Bacterial small subunit ribosomal RNA", at positions 354 to 796 of the family's 1533-position model. The record is from RNAcentral.
GUGAGGAAUUUUCCGCAAUGGGCGAAAGCCUGACGGAGCAAAGCCGCGUGAAGGAUGAAGGCCUAUGGGUUGUAAACUUCUUUUCUCAGAAAAGAAUUAUGACGGUAUCUGAGGAAUAAGCAUCGGCUAACUCUGUGCCAGCAGCCGCGGUAAGACAGAGGAUGCAAGCGUUAUCCGGAAUGAUUGGGCGUAAAGCGUCUGUAGGUUGUUUAAAAAGUAUUCUGUCAAAGAUUAGGGCUUAACCCUAGAUAGGCAGAAUAAACUUUUAAGCUAGAGUUUGGUAGAGGCAGAUGGAAUUCCCGGUGGAGCGGUGAAAUGCGUAGAUAUCGGGAGGAACACCAAAGGCGAAGGCACUCUGCUGGGCCAAUACUAACACUGAGAGACGAAAGCGAGGGGAGCAAAUGGGAUUAGAUACCCGGGUAGUCC